RNAcentral lists this ribosomal RNA (642 nucleotides) under Allopsoroptoides galli. RNAcentral describes it as "partial large subunit ribosomal RNA". It matches the Rfam family "Eukaryotic large subunit ribosomal RNA", at positions 229 to 667 of the family's 3401-position model. The record is from RNAcentral. Lineage: Eukaryota; Metazoa; Arthropoda; Arachnida; Sarcoptiformes; Psoroptoididae.
AAGGAACCAGUCGACGCCCUCCAACGCAUUCUAGAGUCAGGUUGCUUGAGAGUGCAGCUUAAAGUAGGUGGUAAACUCCAUCCAAGACUAAAUAUGACAGCGAGACCGAUAGCAAACAAGUACCGUGAGGGAAAGUUGCAAAGCACUUUGAAGAGAGAGUUCAACAGUACGUGAAACCACUGACAGGCAAACAGAUGGAACCACGAAGUUGCGUCCCGGUCGAUUCAAUCAGAGUUGAUGAUCAAUUGGCUAGAUCUAGGAGCUCUACGGAGUUUGGAUCUAGCUAAUUUGAUUGUAGACACUGGUGCAUUUCGUACCGGGAAUGCUAAGCCACGUUCGACUAGAUAGUUGGUACGGCCGUAGGAUAGACUACAAGUAAGGUGCCCGUCCAGUGCUUGCAUUGGGCGGCGUUAUAGACUUGUGGUGGAACCGUAUCCAACAUACUGGUCGAUGCAAAUUCUCCGUUCGGAGUUUGAGUUGCACUUGCCUUCUGUUGUUACCAAGUGUUUCGAGGCGGCCUUUGCGUAUCUUUGGGUGCGAAAAGACGUUUCAACGAUGUUUGGUAAUAGUGGAUUGCUUUGUGUAACAGAACUGUGGCACGAGUAGGUCGGUGUCCAUCUGACCCGUCUUGAAACACGGACC